GAUGAACGCUGGCGGCGUGCCUAAUACAUGCAAGUCGAGCGAACGGACGAGAAGCUUGCUUCUCUGAUGUUAGCGGCGGACGGGUGAGUAACACGUGGAUAACCUACCUAUAAGACUGGGAUAACUUCGGGAAACCGUAGCUAAUACCGGAUAAUAUUUUGAACCGCAUGGUUCAAAAGUGAAAGACGGUCUUGCUGUCACUUAUAGAUGGAUCCGCGCUGCAUUAUCUAGUUGGUAAGGUAACGGCUUACCAAGGCAACGAUGCAUAGCCGACCUGAGAGGGUGAUCGGCCACACUGGAACUGAGACACGGUCCAGACUCCUACGGGAGGCAGCAGUAGGGAAUCUUCCGCAAUGGGCGAAAGCCUGACGGAGCAACGCCGCGUGAGUGAUGAAGGUCUUCGGAUCGUAAAACUCUGUUAUUAGGGAAGAACAUAUGUGUAAGUAACUAUGCACAUCUUGACGGUACCUAAUCAGAAAGCCACGGCUAACUACGUG
RNAcentral lists this ribosomal RNA (497 nucleotides) under uncultured bacterium. RNAcentral describes it as "partial 16S ribosomal RNA". It matches the Rfam family "Bacterial small subunit ribosomal RNA", at positions 28 to 507 of the family's 1533-position model. The record is from RNAcentral.